CAGUGACGGGUACGGGGAAUUAGGGUUCGAUUCCGGAGAGGGAGCCUGAGAAACGGCUACCACAUCUAAGGAAGGCAGCAGGCGCGCAAAUUACCCAAUGAAAACAGUUUCGAGGUAGUGACGAGAAAUAACAAUACAGGGCAUUAUAUGCUUUGUAAUUGGAAUGAUGGGAAUGUAAAACCCUCCCAGAGUAACAAUUGGAGGGCAAGUCUGGUGCCAGCAGCCGCGGUAAUUCCAGCUCCAAUAGUGUAUAUUAGAGUUGUUGCAGUUAAAAAGCUCGUAGUUGGAUUUCUGUUGUGGCUAUCAGGUAACGCCCGUAUGGGUGUUCACCGUGAUGGACCAUGGCAUUCUUCCGGUAGCUCCUAUCGCGCUUCAUUGCGUGAUAGGUGUUCCGGAACUUUUACUUUGAGAAAAAAUAGAGUGUUUCAAGCAGGCUUGUCGCCCUGAAUACUGCCGCAUGGAAUAAUAAGAUAGGACCUUUGGUUCUAUUUUGUUGGCUUCUAGGACCGAGGUAAUGAUUAAUAGGGACAGUUGGGGGCAUUCGUAUUUAACUGUCAGAGGUGAAAUUCUUAGAUUUGUUAAAGACGAACUACUGCGAAAGCAUUUGCCAAGGAUGUUUUCAUUAAUCAAGAACGACAGUAGGGGGUUUGAAGACGAUUAGAUACCGUCGUAAUCUCUACCAUAAACUAUGCCGACUAGAGAUAGGGAAACGCCUACCUUGGCUUCUCCUGCAUCUCAUGAGAAAUCAAAGUCUCUGGGUUCUGGGGGGAGUAUGGUCGCAAGGCUGAAACUUAAAGGAAUUGACGGAAGGGCACCACCAGGCGUGGAGCCUGCGGCUUAAUUUGACUCAACACGGGGAAACUCACCAGGUCCAGACAUGGGAAGGAUUGACAGAUUGAUAGCUCUUUCAUGAUUCUAUGGGUGGUUGGUGCAUGGCCGUUCUUAGUUGGUGGAGUGAUCUGUCUGGUUAAUUUCGAUAACGAACGAGACCUUAGCCUGCUAAAUAGGAUCGGGAACUUUUUGGUUUCCGCAUCGCUUCUUAGAGGGACUUUGCGUGUCUAACGCAAGGAAGUUUGAGGCAAUAACAGGUCUGUGAUGCCCUUAGAUGUUCUGGGCUGCACGCGCGCUACACUGAUGCACUCAACGAGUUUAUAACCUUGGCCGACAGGUCUAGGUAAUCUUUUGAGUAUGCAUCGUGAUGGGAUAG
This 1207-nucleotide ribosomal RNA is filed under the name Isospora amphiboluri. Its description in RNAcentral is "SSU rRNA". It matches the Rfam family "Eukaryotic small subunit ribosomal RNA", at positions 350 to 1579 of the family's 1831-position model. The record is from RNAcentral. Lineage: Eukaryota; Apicomplexa; Conoidasida; Eucoccidiorida; Eimeriidae.